RNAcentral lists this unclassified non-coding RNA (1554 nucleotides) under Hevea brasiliensis (rubber tree). The record is from RNAcentral. Lineage: Eukaryota; Viridiplantae; Streptophyta; Magnoliopsida; Malpighiales; Euphorbiaceae.
UCUCAGAAGGAAAUGCACAAAUAUGAAAAAGAGGCUAAGCAGCAAGGAAAAGGUUCAUUUGCUUAUGCCUGGGCAUUGGAUGAGAGUGCUGAAGAAAGAGAGAGGGGAAUAACUAUGACAGUGGGUGUUGCCUACUUUAACACAAAAUGUUACCGUGUUGUUCUGCUUGAUUCCCCAGGCCACAGGGACUUUGUCCCAAAUAUGAUAUCAGGGGCUACACAAGCAGAUGCAGCAGUUCUUGUAAUUGAUGCUUCAGUUGGUGCGUUUGAAGCAGGUAUUGAUGCUACUGGAGGUCAGACGAGGGAGCAUGCACAACUUAUCAAAAGCUUUGGGGUGGAUCAGAUUAUAAUUGCAGUUAACAAAAUGGAUGCAGUGGGAUACUCCCAAGAACGAUUUGAUGCAAUUAAGAAACAAUUGGGCACAUUUCUCCGUGCUUGUAAGUUUAAAGAUUCUUCAGUAACAUGGAUUCCCGUAAGUGCCAUGGAAAACCAAAAUUUGGUGACAGGUCCAUCAGAAUCACGGUUCUUGUCCUGGUUUCGAGGUCCUUGCCUAUUGGAUGCAAUAGACUCUCUCCAACCUCCUCAAAGAGACUACUCGAAGCCAUUUUUAUUGCCAAUAUGUGAUGUUGUUAGAGCACAGUCUCAAGGGCAAGUGUCAAUAUGCGGUAAGUUGGAGAGGGGAGCUCUUCAAACUGGAAAUAAGGUUUUAGUCAUGCCAUUCAGAGAUGUGGCAACAGUGCGUUCUUUGGAACGUGAUUCUCAGGUUUGUAACGCCGCAAAAGCUGGAGACAGUGUCACUAUCAAUCUACAGGGUAUUGAUGCCAAUCACGUGAUGGCGGGGGGUGUCUUGUGCCACCCUGAAUUCCCAGUUCCAGUUGCAAAUCAUUUGGAACUGAAGGUCCUCAUCUUGGAGAAUGGCAUUCCAAUUGUAAUUGGCUCUCAGUUAGAAUUUCUUGUACACCACGCUAAGGAGGCUGCAAGAGUUGUGAGGAUUUUGUCCUUGCUUGAUCCAAAGACUGGAAAGGAGACCAAGAAAUCACCUAGAUGUCUUCUAGCAAAGCAGAAUGCUAUAAUUGAGGUAGUUUUGCAAGGGAUAAUUUGUGUUGAAGAGCAUUCUAAAUGUAAGGGUCUUGGAAGGGUGUCCCUCAGAGCAUCAGGAAGAACCAUCGCUCUUGGUCUUGUGACUAGAGUUCUAGAGAAGAAGGAAUAGAGAAAUUACCACUGCUGGAAUGAGGUUUGACAUAUCCAGAAUCAGCUGGUAGAGAUAUACAUCAGCGAGGACCUUUAGCUUGAAACAAUGACCUCACUCGCGGUUGAGUGGCAUCCUUUUCUUUAUCUUCUUCUUUCUCCUCUCAUGCCUGUCCUGAUCUCCCCUAGAGAUCCACAAUUUUUGUAGUUGCGAUGAAUGUUAUUAAUGAUUCUACAGUGUCAUUAGCUCUAGACAUGGGUUUCUUCCCUUCAUUUUUGUGGUGGAUCCUUUCUGUACUUGUACAUUGGAGGAAUCUGAUAUAUAUUUAGGGACCCCUCUUUGAGCGACAUAUUCACAACUUUAUGU